RNAcentral lists this ribosomal RNA (676 nucleotides) under Pantoea stewartii. RNAcentral describes it as "bacterial SSU rRNA". It matches the Rfam family "Bacterial small subunit ribosomal RNA", at positions 62 to 727 of the family's 1533-position model. Lineage: Bacteria; Pseudomonadati; Pseudomonadota; Gammaproteobacteria; Enterobacterales; Erwiniaceae. The record is from RNAcentral.
UCGGACGGUAGCACAGAGGAGCUUGCUCCUCGGGUGACGAGUGGCGGACGGGUGAGUAAUGUCUGGGAAACUGCCCGAUGGAGGGGGAUAACUACUGGAAACGGUAGCUAAUACCGCAUAACGUCGCAAGACCAAAGUGGGGGACCUUCGGGCCUCACACCAUCGGAUGUGCCCAGAUGGGAUUAGCUUGUAGGCGGGGUAACGGCCCACCUAGGCGACGAUCCCUAGCUGGUCUGAGAGGAUGACCAGCCACACUGGAACUGAGACACGGUCCAGACUCCUACGGGAGGCAGCAGUGGGGAAUAUUGCACAAUGGGCGCAAGCCUGAUGCAGCCAUGCCGCGUGUAUGAAGAAGGCCUUCGGGUUGUAAAGUACUUUCAGCGGGGAGGAAGGUGUUGAGGUUAAUAACCUCAGCAAUUGACGUUACCCGCAGAAGAAGCACCGGCUAACUCCGUGCCAGCAGCCGCGGUAAUACGGAGGGUGCAAGCGUUAAUCGGAAUUACUGGGCGUARAGCGCACGCAGGCGGUCUGUUAAGUCAGAUGUGAAAUCCCCGGGCUUAACCUGGGAACUGCAUUUGAAACUGGCAGGCUUGAGUCUCGUAGAGGGGGGUAGAAUUCCAGGUGUAGCGGUGAAAUGCGUAGAGAUCUGGAGGAAUACCGGUGGCGAAGGCGGCCC